CAACCCGCUAGCCUGUAGUAACUCCUCCCGUCCUCUCAGGUCCUCACACAGUCGGUCCUCAGCUCGUAGAUCUCCUCCUCCUCCAUCAUCGCUCAAUUCGAUUUCAAAGCGAAAAAUAACGAAACUCAAAUCGAAACGGAGUUAUGGCCGCCGCAGAAGAGAACAGCUCUCUCUUUCUAAUAUUCAUCUUAACUAUAAUGGCUCUGCCUCUAGUGCCUUACACAAUUGUCAGGCUAUGCCGUGCAUUUUCUAGGAAGACGAAGAGUAUCCACUGCCAGUGUGUUGAAUGUUCGCGGUCCGGGAAGUAUCGGAAAUCCAUUUUUAAACGGAUAUCAAACUUCUCAACUUGUAGCAAUCUUACACUAGUGUUGCUUUGGGUCA
This is a long non-coding RNA of Asparagus officinalis (garden asparagus), 381 nucleotides long. RefSeq lists it as uncharacterized. Lineage: Eukaryota; Viridiplantae; Streptophyta; Magnoliopsida; Asparagales; Asparagaceae. The record is from RefSeq and is a predicted model, not a curated record. The transcript is spliced from 3 exons.